AUGCUGGAGGUAUCAGAAGUGCGAAUGCUGACAUAAGUAACGAUAAAGCGGGUGAAAAGCCCGCUCGCCGGAAGACCAAGGGUUCCUGUCCAACGUUAAUCGGGGCAGGGUGAGUCGACCCCUAAGGCGAGGCCGAAAGGCGUAGUCGAUGGGAAACAGGUUAAUAUUCCUGUACUUGGUGUUACUGCGAAGGGGGGACGGAGAAGGCUAUGUUGGCCGGGCGACGGUUGUCCCGGUUUAAGCGUGUAGGCUGGUUUUCCAGGCAAAUCCGGAAAAUCAAGGCUGAGGCGUGAUGACGAGGCACUACGGUGCUGAAGCAACAAAUGCCCUGCUUCCAGGAAAAGCCUCUAAGCAUCAGGUAACAUCAAAUCGUACCCCAAACCGACACAGGUGGUCAGGUAGAGAAUACCAAGGCGCUUGAGAGAACUCGGGUGAAGGAACUAGGCAAAAUGGUGCCGUAACUUCGGGAGAAGGCACGCUGAUAUGUAGGUGAAGUCCCUCGCGGAUGGAGCUGAAAUCAGUCGAAGAUACCAGCUGGCUGCAACUGUUUAUUAAAAACACAGCACUGUGCAAACACGAAAGUGGACGUAUACGGUGUGACGCCUGCCCGGUGCCGGAAGGUUAAUUGAUGGGGUCAGCGCAAGCGAAGCUCUUGAUCGAAGCCCCGGUAAACGGCGGCCGUAACUAUAACGGUCCUAAGGUAGCGAAAUUCCUUGUCGGGUAAGUUCCGACCUGCACGAAUGGCGUAAUGAUGGCCAGGCUGUCUCCACCCGAGACUCAGUGAAAUUGAACUCGCUGUGAAGAUGCAGUGUACCCGCGGCAAGACGGAAAGACCCCGUGAACCUUUACUAUAGCUUGACACUGAACAUUGAGCCUUGAUGUGUAGGAUAGGUGGGAGGCUUUGAAGUGUGGACGCCAGUCUGCAUGGAGCCGACCUUGAAAUACCACCCUUUAAUGUUUGAUGUUCUAACGUUGACCCGUGAUCCGGGUUGCGGACAGUGUCUGGUGGGUAGUUUGACUGGGGCGGUCUCCUCCUAAAGAGUAACGGAGGAGCACGAAGGUUGGCUAAUCCUGGUCGGACAUCAGGAGGUUAGUGCAAUGGCAUAAGCCAGCUUGACUGCGAGCGUGACGGCGCGAGCAGGUGCGAAAGCAGGUCAUAGUGAUCCGGUGGUUCUGAAUGGAAGGGCCAUCGCUCAACGGAUAAAAGGUACUCCGGGGAUAACAGGCUGAUACCGCCCAAGAGUUCAUAUCGACGGCGGUGUUUGGCACCUCGAUGUCGGCUCAUCACAUCCUGGGGCUGAAGUAGGUCCCAAGGGUAUGGCUGUUCGCCAUUUAAAGUGGUACGCGAGCUGGGUUUAGAACGUCGUGAGACAGUUCGGUCCCUAUCUGCCGUGGGCGCUGGAGAACUGAGGGGGGCUGCUCCUAGUACGAGAGGACCGGAGUGGACGCAUCACUGGUGUUCGGGUUGUCAUGCCAAUGGCACUGCCCGGUAGCUAAAUGCGGAAGAGAUAAGUGCUGAAAGCAUCUAAGCACGAAACUUGCCCCGAGAUGAGUUCUCCCUG
This 1562-nucleotide ribosomal RNA is filed under the name Escherichia coli. RNAcentral describes it as "partial 23S ribosomal RNA". It matches the Rfam family "Bacterial large subunit ribosomal RNA", at positions 1270 to 2817 of the family's 2925-position model. The record is from RNAcentral. Lineage: Bacteria; Pseudomonadati; Pseudomonadota; Gammaproteobacteria; Enterobacterales; Enterobacteriaceae.